Molecule: ribosomal RNA, 1954 nt
Filed under: human gut metagenome
Description: bacterial LSU rRNA
Rfam family: Bacterial large subunit ribosomal RNA
Source: RNAcentral
CAGUACCGUGAGGGAAAGGUGAAAAGAACCCCGAACAGGGGAGUGAAAUAGAACCUGAAACCAUACGCUUACAACCUGUCGGAGCGGCUUCGUGCCGUGACGGCGUGCCUAUUGAAUAAUGAGCCUACGAGUUACUAAUCACUGGCAAGGUUAAGUGCACGGAUGCACGGAGCCGAAGCGAAAGCGAGUCUGAAUAGGGCGUUUAGUCAGUGGUUGUAGACGCGAAACCUUGCGAUCUACCCUUGAGCAGGUUGAAGGUUGGGUAAAACCAACUGGAGGACCGAACGAAUAAGCGUUGAAAAGCUUCUCGAUGACUUGAGGGUAGGGGUGAAAGGCUAAUCAAGCUGGGAAAUAGCUCGUACUCCCCGAAAUGCCUUUAGGGGCAGCGUUGUAAUUAAGAGUCUACUGGAGGUAGAGCUACUGAUUGGAUGCGGGGGCUUCACCGCCUACCAAAUCCUGACAAACUCCGAAUGCCAGUAGUAUGAUUUACAGCAGUGAGCGACCGGGUGCUAAUGUCCGGUUACGAGAGUGGAACAACACAGACCAGCAACUAAGGUCCCCAAGAGUAUACUAAGUUGAUCUAACGAUGUUUUGCUGCAGAGACAGCUAGGAUGUUAGCUUGGAAGCAGCUAUUCAUUCAAAGAGUGCGUAACAGCUCACUAGUCGAGCGGCAAAGCGUGGAUAAUAAACGGGCAUCAAGUAUACCACCGAAGUUCUGGGCACGAAAGUGCGGUAGGGGAGCAUUCCAUUCCGCGUUGAAGCCGAACCGUGAGGUUUGGUGGAGUGUAUGGAAAAGCAAAUGUAGGCAUGAGUAACGAUAAUGCGGGAGAGUAACCCGCACACCGCAAGACCAAGGUUUCCUGAUCAACGCUAAUCGGAUCAGGGUUAGUCGGGUCCUAAGGGUAAGCCGAACGGUGAUCUCGAUGGAUAAUCGGUUAAUAUUCCGAUACUGACAUAUACCUCGAUGGAGAGACGAAGGAACGUAAGUGCCGCCACCUGACGGAAUAGGUGGUUAAAGGGCUUAGGUAUAGGGGCAGAUUAAGAGUUAGUCCUUGCUGAAACCUGACAGUACAGAGAGCCUACGGGCAAUUUGAUAGUGCACCCAAGUCGACUUCCGAGAAAAUCUUCUAAGUUAUAGUAUAUGUCACCCGUACCGUAAACCGACACAGGUGGUCGAGGAGAGUAUCCUAAGGUGCUCGAGUGAAUCACGGUUAAGGAACUAGGCAAAUUAACCCCGUAACUUCGGGAAAAGGGGUCCCAUCGCGAGGUGGGCGCAGCGAAGAGGUCCAGGCGACUGUUUAUCAAAAACACAGGGCUCUGCAAAUUCGAAAGAAGACGUAUAGGGCCUGACACCUGCCCGGUGCUGGAAGGUUAAGAGGGGAUGUCAUCGCAAGAGAAGCAUUGAAUCGAAGCCCCAGUAAACGGCGGCCGUAACUAUAACGGUCCUAAGGUAGCGAAAUUCCUUGUCGGGGAAGUUCCGACCUGCACGAAUGGUGUAACGAUCUGGACACUGUCUCAACCGUGAGCUCGGUGAAAUUGUAGUCCCGGUGAGGAUGCCGGGUACCCGCAACGGGACGAAAAGACCCCGUGAACCUUUACUAUAGCUUAACGCUGAAUUUGGGUACACAAUGUGUAGGAUAGGCAGGAGACUACGAAGCGGGCACGCCAGUGUUCGUGGAGUCGACGUUGAAAUACUGCCCUUUGUGUACUUGAGUUCUAACCCUCGAGAGGGGACACCGUUUGGUGGGUAGUUUGACUGGGGUGGUCGCCUCCAAAAGAGUAACGGAGGCUUCCCAAGGUACCCUCAGCACGAAUGGUAACCGUGCGUAGAGUGCAAUAGCAUAAGGGUGCUUGACUGUGAGACCAACAAGUCGAUCAGGUGCGAAAGCAGGGUAUAGUGAUCCGGUGGUUCUGCGUGGACUGGCCAUCGCUCAAAGGAUAAAAGGUACUCCGG